This 272-nucleotide long non-coding RNA is filed under the name Gossypium barbadense (sea-island cotton). RNAcentral describes it as "long non-coding RNA (GBAR_LNC007313)". The record is from RNAcentral. Lineage: Eukaryota; Viridiplantae; Streptophyta; Magnoliopsida; Malvales; Malvaceae.
UGUGAGUUCACCUGUGCCAACAUCAAUAAUUGUUUUAGCAGUUGCUAAAAAGGGCCUUCCCAGAAUUAAAGGAGUGUUCCUAUCCUCUUCUAUAUCUAGAACAAUAAAGUCAACGGGAAAUAUAAAUUUAUCGACUUUUACAAGUACAUCUUCAAUAAUACCCCUAGGGAAUCUUAUAGUUUUAUCUACUAAUUGAAUGCUCAUUCUAGUCUGUUUGGGUUUCCCGAGACCUAAUUGCUUAAACAUUUUGUAGGACAUGACGUUAAUACUAG